AGUGAACGCUGGCGGUAGGCCUAACACAUGCAAGUCGAACGGCAGCACAGUAAGAGCUUGCUCUUACGGGUGGCGAGUGGCGGACGGGUGAGGAAUACAUCGGAAUCUACUUUUUCGUGGGGGAUAACGUAGGGAAACUUACGCUAAUACCGCAUACGACCUACGGGUGAAAGCAGGGGAUCUUCGGACCUUGCGCGAUUGAAUGAGCCGAUGUCGGAUUAGCUAGUUGGCGGGGUAAAGGCCCACCAAGGCGACGAUCCGUAGCUGGUCUGAGAGGAUGAUCAGCCACACUGGAACUGAGACACGGUCCAGACUCCUACGGGAGGCAGCAGUGGGGAAUAUUGGACAAGGGGCGCAAGCCUGAUCCAGCCAUACCGCGUGGGUGAAGAAGGACUUCGGGUUGUAAAGCCCUUUUGUUGGGAAAGAAAAGCAGCAGGUUAAUACCCCGCUGUUCUGACGGUACCCAAAGAAUAAGCACCGGCUAACUUCGUG
Molecule: ribosomal RNA, 492 nt
Filed under: uncultured bacterium
Lineage: Bacteria
Description: partial 16S ribosomal RNA
Rfam family: Bacterial small subunit ribosomal RNA
Source: RNAcentral